UACAGAGGUGGCAAGCGUUGUUCGGAAUUACUGGGCGUAAAGGGCGCGUAGGCGGUCUUGUAAGUCUUGUGUGAAAUCCCUCGGCUUAACUGAGGAACUGCACGGGAUACUGCGAGACUUGAGAUCGGGAGAGGGAAACGGAAUUCCGGGUGUAGCGGUGAAAUGCGUAGAUAUCCGGAGGAACACCGGUGGCGAGGGCGGCUUCCUGGACCGACACUGACGCUGAGGCGCGAAAGCUAGGGGAGCAAACGGG
This 253-nucleotide ribosomal RNA is filed under the name uncultured bacterium. RNAcentral's name for it is "partial 16S ribosomal RNA". It matches the Rfam family "Bacterial small subunit ribosomal RNA", at positions 524 to 776 of the family's 1533-position model. The record is from RNAcentral.